CAAAUAUUUCAUUUGAUCUUUCCAACACCCUCAUGAGGAAGACUAGGGUGAUCUGAGAGUACUGGCUGCCUUUUGAGAAGGAGGCUGGAGGCUGCCAAAAACAUCACAAAGAGGACUCAAAGAGGAAGUGGACCAUUCAAAAUGGACCUGCUUGGCUUUUCUGGGGCCUAAGACUUUUUAUAAAAGAGAUAUAUGAGUGCAUUCCCAUCUCACUAAAGGUUUGCUGUCAAAUGAGGAUCAAAUGAGAUAAUA
Molecule: long non-coding RNA, 252 nt
Organism: Sarcophilus harrisii (Tasmanian devil)
Lineage: Eukaryota; Metazoa; Chordata; Mammalia; Dasyuromorphia; Dasyuridae
Exons: 3
Source: RefSeq, a predicted model, not a curated record